This 384-nucleotide ribosomal RNA is filed under the name uncultured eukaryote. RNAcentral describes it as "SSU rRNA". It matches the Rfam family "Eukaryotic small subunit ribosomal RNA", at positions 587 to 972 of the family's 1831-position model. The record is from RNAcentral.
AGCUCCAAUAGCGUAUAUUACAGCCGCUGCGGUUGAAAACCUCGUAUUUGGAUUUCUGCUGAGGACGACUGGUCUGCCCUCUGGGUGAGUAUCUGGUUCGGCCGAAGCGUAUUAUUGGAGGUUGCAAGCGCACUUCAUUGUGUGGUGCAACCGACUGGAACCUUACUUUGAGGAACUUAGAAUGUUCAAGGGAGGCGUACGCCUCUCAUAGGUUAAAAUGUGGUAAUGUUGUAAGGCCAUGGUAUUGACGUGUUGGUUUCUACCACAUAAGGUAAUGAUAAACAGGGAUUGUUGGGGGCAUUCGUAUUGAACUGUCAGAGGUGAGAUUAUUAAUUUUGUUAAAGACGAACGACUGCGAACAAACAAUUGUCACGGAUGUUUUCA